RNAcentral lists this ribosomal RNA (392 nucleotides) under uncultured bacterium. RNAcentral's name for it is "partial 16S ribosomal RNA". It matches the Rfam family "Bacterial small subunit ribosomal RNA", at positions 523 to 918 of the family's 1533-position model. The record is from RNAcentral.
AUACGGAGGAUCCGAGCGUUAUCCGGAUUUAUUGGGUUUCAAGGGUGCGCAGGCGGCCAUUUAAGUCAGCGGUUAAAUCGUGGGGCUCAACCCCAUUCUGCCGUUGAUACUGGGUGGCUUGAUUGCGGUCGAGGUUGGCGGAAUUCGUUGUGUAGCGGUGAAAUGCAUAGAUAUGACGAAGAACACCGAUUGCGUAGGCAGCUGACCAGAUCGCAAAUGACGCUCAUGCACGAAAGUGCGGGGAUCGAACAGGAUUAGAUACCCUGGUAGUCCGCACAGUAAACGAUGAAUACUUGUUUUCGGCGAUAUAAUGUCGGAGGCAAAGCGAAAGCGAUAAGUAUUCCACCUGGGGAGUACGCCGGCAACGGUGAAACUCAAAGGAAUUGACGGGG